AAGGCUCGGGAUGCUUAUCAAUUCCAGUGCUCUCAAUCUGGAAAGUUGAAGAUCUCAAGGUAACAUCAGAGUCAGAGCUGCUCCUUGGAUAUUUCUUUCGCAAUUCCAUUGGUUCCCAUACCUUCUUAAUAACAGAUGAAUCUCUGCUAGACAGAUUAUUACGUAUAGCCAUUUUGCUUUUGGGUCUUGCACAAUUUUCACGCNNNN
RNAcentral lists this long non-coding RNA (207 nucleotides) under Solanum tuberosum (potato). Its description in RNAcentral is "long non-coding RNA (STUB_LNC001156)". The record is from RNAcentral. Lineage: Eukaryota; Viridiplantae; Streptophyta; Magnoliopsida; Solanales; Solanaceae.